UGGGGAAUUUUGGACAAUGGGCGAAAGCCUGAUCCAGCAAUGCCGCGUGUGUGAAGAAGGCCUUCGGGUUGUAAAGCACUUUUGUCCGGAAAGAAAUCCUUGGCUCUAAUACAGUCGGGGGAUGACGGUACCGGAAGAAUAAGCACCGGCUAACUACGUGCCAGCAGCCGCGGUAAUACGUAGGGUGCAAGCGUUAAUCGGAAUUACUGGGCGUAAAGCGUGCGCAGGCGGUUUGCUAAGACCGAUGUGAAAUCCCCGGGCUCAACCUGGGAACUGCAUUGGUGACUGGCAGGCUAGAGUAUGGCAGAGGGGGGUAGAAUUCCACGUGUAGCAGUGAAAUGCGUAGAGAUGUGGAGGAAUACCGAUGGCGAAGGCAGCCCCCUGGGCCAAUACUGACGCUCAUGCACGAAAGCGUGGGGGAGCAAAACAGGAUUAGAUACCCUGGUAGUCCACGCCCUAAACGAUGUCAACUAGUUGUUGGGGAUUCAUUCCUUAGUAACGUAGCUAACGCGUGAAGUUGACCGCCUGGGGAGUACGGUCGCAAGAUUAAAACUCAAAGGAAUUGACGGGGUCAUAGCUGUUUCCU
This 586-nucleotide ribosomal RNA is filed under the name uncultured bacterium. Its description in RNAcentral is "partial 16S ribosomal RNA". It matches the Rfam family "Bacterial small subunit ribosomal RNA", at positions 355 to 1375 of the family's 1533-position model. The record is from RNAcentral.